RNAcentral lists this ribosomal RNA (597 nucleotides) under Bacillus sp. 6-2. Its description in RNAcentral is "bacterial SSU rRNA". It matches the Rfam family "Bacterial small subunit ribosomal RNA", at positions 70 to 650 of the family's 1533-position model. Lineage: Bacteria; Bacillati; Bacillota; Bacilli; Caryophanales; Bacillaceae. The record is from RNAcentral.
GAUUAAGAGCUUGCUCUUAUGAAGUUAGCGGCGGACGGGUGAGUAACACGUGGGUAACCUGCCCAUAAGACUGGGAUAACUCCGGGAAACCGGGGCUAAUACCGGAUAACAUUUUGAACUGCAUGGUUCGAAAUUGAAAGGCGGCUUCGGCUGUCACUUAUGGAUGGACCCGCGUCGCAUUAGCUAGUUGGUGAGGUAACGGCUCACCAAGGCAACGAUGCGUAGCCGACCUGAGAGGGUGAUCGGCCACACUGGGACUGAGACACGGCCCAGACUCCUACGGGAGGCAGCAGUAGGGAAUCUUCCGCAAUGGACGAAAGUCUGACGGAGCAACGCCGCGUGAGUGAUGAAGGCUUUCGGGUCGUAAAACUCUGUUGUUAGGGAAGAACAAGUGCUAGUUGAAUAAGCUGGCACCUUGACGGUACCUAACCAGAAAGCCACGGCUAACUACGUGCCAGCAGCCGCGGUAAUACGUAGGUGGCAAGCGUUAUCCGGAAUUAUUGGGCGUAAAGCGCGCGCAGGUGGUUUCUUAAGUCUGAUGUGAAAGCCCACGGCUCAACCGUGGAGGGUCAUUGGAAACUGGGAGACUUGAGUGCA